Molecule: transfer RNA, 73 nt
Filed under: Stegodyphus mimosarum
Lineage: Eukaryota; Metazoa; Arthropoda; Arachnida; Araneae; Eresidae
Rfam family: tRNA
About the family: Transfer RNA (tRNA) molecules are approximately 80 nucleotides in length. Their secondary structure includes four short double-helical elements and three loops (D, anti-codon, and T loops).
Source: Rfam by way of RNAcentral
GCGUUCGUGGUGUAAUGGUCAACACACCUGACGUGUAUUCGAGAGGUCCGUGGUUCGAGUCCCGGUAAGGGCA